RNAcentral lists this ribosomal RNA (463 nucleotides) under uncultured bacterium. RNAcentral describes it as "partial 16S ribosomal RNA". It matches the Rfam family "Bacterial small subunit ribosomal RNA", at positions 28 to 507 of the family's 1533-position model. The record is from RNAcentral.
GACGAACGCUGGCGGCGUGCUUAACACAUGCAAGUCGAACGGAAAGGCCUUUUCGGUGGUACUCGAGCGGCGAACGGGUGAGUAACACGUGGGUGAUCUGCCCUGCACUCUGGGAUAAGCCUGGGAAACUGGGUCUAGUACCGGAUAGGACCGCACUUUUGUGUGUGUGGUGGAAAGUUUUUUGGGUGUAGGUUGAGUCCGUGGCCUAUCAGCUUGCUGGUGGGGUAAUGGUCUACCAAGGCGGCGACGGGUAGCCGGACUGAGCGGCUGGUCGGCCACAUUGGGUCUUAGAUACGGCCCAGACACCUACGGGAGGGAGCAGGGGGGAAGAUUGCACGAGGGGCGCAAGCCUGAUGCAGCGACGCCGCGGGGGGGAUGACGGCCUUCUGGUUGUAAACCCCUUUCGCCAGGGACUAAGCGUUUUGUGACGGUACCUGGAGAAGAAGCACCGGCUAACUACGUG